UUUUUUUUGCUUCAGUGACUUUAGGACA
RNAcentral lists this non-coding RNA (28 nucleotides) under Cricetulus griseus (Chinese hamster). Lineage: Eukaryota; Metazoa; Chordata; Mammalia; Rodentia; Cricetidae. The record is from RNAcentral.